AGUAAUGGCAAGUAAUUUGAAUGUUUGUGGAGUUUGUGAACUACGCAAUAUCAGUAAACAGUCAGUAAUCUGGUGCUCCGAUUGUGAGGAGGGUCUCUGUGAUGAUUGUAAGGACCAUCACAGUUUAUCCAAAGGAACACGAAACCAUGACAUAGUGACGAUAGCCGAGUACCAGAAGUUACCAAGCACCGUUUUUGAAAUCGCACAGUCCUGUAGAAAACAUGAUCAAAAGUAUCAAAUAUUUUGUAAGAAGCAUGAUUGUCCGUGCUGUAAAAAGUGUGUCGUUGAGGACCAUAAUAAGUGUGAAGAUUUAAAAGAUAUAGAUGAUGUCAUAAGCGGAAUAAAGUCGUCAAAUGCAUUCCAAGAUAUUGAGAAGACUCUGAACGAGGUUAAAGAGUAUAUCAAAAGAAUUCGAAAAGACCGUGAAGGAAAUUUAGCGUCUUUGAAGGAACAAAAGAAGAGCAUUGGAAUGGAGAUUCUAAAAGCUAAAACCUCGAUCAAUAAUCACCUAGACAAAUUGCAUCAGGCAGUGCUGAAAGAUCUUGACGCAUUAGAGGAGACAGAGAGUAUGAAAAUUCGUCAGUUACUGAGUGAAGUGGAGAAAAAGGAAAAAGAGAUUGAAGAAUUCCAAGCUGGGUUAGCUAAUAUUAAGCAUUAUGCUUCCGAUUUGCAAACAUUCCUGGCAGCAAAGCAAAUGGAAUGCGAUUUAUCAGAGCAAAAGC
Molecule: long non-coding RNA, 722 nt
Filed under: Mytilus galloprovincialis (Mediterranean mussel)
Lineage: Eukaryota; Metazoa; Mollusca; Bivalvia; Mytilida; Mytilidae
Source: RNAcentral